AUCGCUUCUCGGCCUUUUGGCUAAGAUCAAGUGUAGAAAGUUCAUUAACUAUAUUUUGUUCCAACCAUA
This is a small nuclear RNA of Rattus norvegicus (Norway rat), 69 nucleotides long. Ensembl annotates it as U2 spliceosomal RNA. The record is from Ensembl. NCBI's taxonomy places the organism in Eukaryota, Metazoa, Chordata, Mammalia, Rodentia, Muridae.